This 492-nucleotide ribosomal RNA is filed under the name uncultured bacterium. RNAcentral's name for it is "partial 16S ribosomal RNA". It matches the Rfam family "Bacterial small subunit ribosomal RNA", at positions 29 to 507 of the family's 1533-position model. The record is from RNAcentral.
AGUGAACGCUGGCGGUAGGCCUAACACAUGCAAGUCGAACGGCAGCACAGUAAGAGCUUGCUCUUACGGGUGGCGAGUGGCGGACGGGUGAGGAAUACAUCGGAAUCUACUUUUUCGUGGGGGAUAACGUAGGGAAACUUACGCUAAUACCGCAUACGACCUACGGGUGAAAGCAGGGGAUCUUCGGACCUUGCGCGAUUGAAUGAGCCGAUGUCGGAUUAGCUAGUUGGCGGGGUAAAGGCCCACCAAGGCGACGAUCCGUAGCUGGUCUGAGAGGAUGAUCAGUCACACUGGAACUGAGACACGGUCCAGACUCCUACGGGAGGCAGCAGUGGGGAAUAUUGGACAAUGGGCGAAAGCCUGAUCCAGCCAUACCGCGUGGGUGAAGAAGGCCUUCGGGUUGUAAAGCACUUUUGUUGGGAAAGAAAAGCAGCAGGUUAAUACCCCGCUGUUCUGACGGUACCCAAAGAAUAAGCACCGGCUAACUUCGUG